AUAACACAUGCAAGUCGAACGAUGAAACUUAGUAGACUUCUUCGGAAUGACACUAAGCGAAUUAGUGGCGAACGGGUGAGUAACGCGUGAGUAACCUGCCUUACACAAGGGGAUAGCCUUUGGAAACGAAGAAUAAUACCCUAUAAAACUAUAAAAGCACAUGCUAGAAUGGUCAAAGUGCUAGCGGUGUAAGAUGGACUUGCGUCUGAUUAGCUAGUUGGUGAGAUAAAAGCUCACCAAGGCAACGAUCAGUAGCCGGCUUGAGAGAGUGUACGGCCACAUUGGGACUGAGACACGGCCCAGACUCCUACGGGAGGCAGCAGUGGGGAAUUUUGCACAAUGGGGGAAACCCUGAUGCAGCGACGCCGCGUGAUUUAGAAGGCCUUCGGGUUGUAAAAAUCUUUUGUAUAGGAAGAAAAUGACAGUACUAUACGAAUAAGGUCCGGCUAAUUACGUGCCAGCAGCCGCGGUAAUACGUAAGGACCGAGCGUUGUCCGGAAUCGUUGGGCGUAAAGGGUACGUAGGCGGCUAGAAAAGUUAGAAGUCAAAGGCUAUAGCUCAACUAUAGUAAGCUUCUAAAACUAUUUAGCUUGAGAAAUGGAAGGGAAAGUGGAAUUCCUAGUGUAGCGGUGGAAUGCGCAGAUAUUAGGAAGAAUACCGGUGGCGAAGGCGACUUUCUGGCCAUUAUCUGACGCUGAGGUACGAAAGCGUGGGUAGCAAACAGGAUUAG
Molecule: ribosomal RNA, 730 nt
Filed under: uncultured Eubacteriales bacterium
Lineage: Bacteria; Bacillati; Bacillota; Clostridia; Eubacteriales
Description: bacterial SSU rRNA
Rfam family: Bacterial small subunit ribosomal RNA
Source: RNAcentral